Molecule: non-coding RNA, 33 nt
Filed under: Mus musculus (house mouse)
Lineage: Eukaryota; Metazoa; Chordata; Mammalia; Rodentia; Muridae
Source: RNAcentral
AAACCUUCUACCUCCUGCAAAAAAUCACCAAGG